This is a long non-coding RNA of Carassius gibelio (silver crucian carp), 2304 nucleotides long. RefSeq lists it as uncharacterized. The record is from RefSeq and is a predicted model, not a curated record. The transcript has 3 exons. NCBI's taxonomy places the organism in Eukaryota, Metazoa, Chordata, Actinopteri, Cypriniformes, Cyprinidae.
GCUACUGAGGAAAUGUCUUUUGUAGGAAGCAUGUGUAUCUGCCUCUGAAACACAAUGGGUACCCACUGCCUCCUGUGGGACACAGAGAACAAACUGCUCACUGCCAAAAGUGUAGCUAAGUACAGACAGACUCUCAGGUUAUGGUGAAGACGGUUUUCAGAGUUGUGAAGGCUUUAAGGAUUGGUCCAUGUUCUGCUCUGCGGACUGGACAGAACCCCAGCAGGAUGGCAGUGGGUUUUCAGACUGGGGUGCAUUCCAGGACAGAACCAGAAAAGAGGAAUAAUUAACGCUACCCUUGGCUGAAGCAGGAACUUCCGAGCUUCCUAAAAACACUGAAAAUGGUGAAAACGGGAAUCCCCGUUUAGUUGUUAAUGGCUGCUUUCAAGUUGGGGGGACCGAGAAAGACCCUGUCAUGAUGGAAAUCCCUACAUUUGUCUGUGCUACAUCAGAGCACAUUAGACAAGCCCUCUCGGUCUGCAGCGAUAUCAAGCGAAGCUGCAAAUUUCUGGUGUCAUCUACAGUCUGGGUCUAAAUUUCUCCAGCUUCACCUCAGCGACAGCACUAGCCAAACGAGCACACAAACGGUAAAGAUGACGAGGAGUUUCAAUAGAACAACAGAGAGCUGUGGUCAGAGGAGAUGUUGUCACUUGUCAGUAAAAACUAAUUUUCCUGGCAGCUGUUAUACUGCGUGUGUGCUGUAGCUUGUAUCAUUUCAUAUUAAAGCGCUAAUGAAACUAAGAAUAUGCAUGUAAGAGCCGCAUCACAUCACAUUCAGGAGGGGCAGAUCUUAAAGUAAUAGCAGCAAAAUAACAAACCAGCUGCUGGGAUAUCUGUUCAUCAAAAAACAAAAGAAAAAAGAGGAAAUCAGUAACUUAACUAUUAACUGUUUGACCUUUGAAAAAUGUCAAUCUGGUUUUAAAUCCUGUCACAGUACUGAGUCAGCUCUUUUAAGAGUUUUGACUGAUACUAUGGUAAUUACUGACUCUGGGCAGUCUAUGGCUCUGGUUCUGUUAGACCUUGGUUCUGCCUUUGAUUGAUUUAGUUUAUCAUAAUACACUUAUAUCACAUCUUGAAACGUGUUGUUCAGGGCACAGUGUCUUCAUGGCACAGUGUUGAAGUGGUUUGUUCACAUAUCACUAAUAAGAGGUAUGUUGUUAGUAUUGGAAACCAAUCCUCAUCUGAGAUAUAUUUAAAGUCUGGUGUCCCUCAGGGCUCAAUUCUUGGUCCGGUACUGUUGUCUCUUUAUAUGCUUCCUCUAGGAUCUAUUUUUUAAAAGUAUGGGGCCUCUUUUCAUCUGUAUGCUGACGACACACAAAUCUACAUCCAUUUGAAGCGCAAUAACAAACAGGCUUUAAAGCCUAUUUUAGUCUGGACACACAAAAACUUUGGCUUACAAGUAAUUUCCUAAGCCUCAAUGAAAGUAACACUGAAUUUAUUUUAUUUGGCUAAAAUGAACACUGUGUACAUGAUUUUGAAUCUGAAUCUUAAAUUUGAUAAGCAGAUAAGUGUGGUGGUCAAGUCCUGUUUUUAUCAUCUUCAUCUCUGACAAAGGUGAACCCCUUUUUUUUCUCUAAAGAAGUUUGAAAUGGUUAUGCAUGUUUUUGUAACAUCUCAAUUGGAUUACUACAACUCAGUUAUGUGUUUCUCGCCUGCAGUUGGUUCAGAAUGCACCAGCUCGGCUUCUUUAUGGGAAGUGCAAACAUGAGUCUAUCACACCAGUUUUGAUUUGAUUGCAUUGGCUGCCAGUCAAACAGAAUUGAUUUUAAAAUGUUACUGUUUGUCUAUAAAUCUCUCCACAGUUCCUACAUUAUCUGAUUUGUUACAUCCAUACACUCAGUCAAGAGCACUCAGAUCUGCCGAUUCUGGUUUAUUACAAGUCCCCAGGGCACGUCUCAAAAACAGAGGUGAUCGUGCUUUUUCUGUUGUUUGCCCAAAGUUGUCCCAAUUCAUAUCAGAACUGCCUCAACUCAGUCUAUUAAGUCUGCUCUAAACUUAUUUCUUCUCCUUGGCAUUUAAUUUUUUGACUUGCUGUGCAAUAAUACUUUAUUUUAGUGAACCUCAUCCAUUUCACAGUGUCUGUGUUUUAGAGUUUGUGUUUUAUUGUUUAUUAACUUUGCAUUCUCUGUGCAGCACUUUGGUUGACUUUGGUUGUUUUAAAUGUGCUAUAUAAAUAAACAUUAUAAUGCAUUGUAACUUUUGUAGCUGUAAGGAUUCAUCUAUAUUUAAUUUAGAAUUUAGUAUUUGAUAACUUUAUUAAAUUUCUGUAUAUUUAUUUCUUGCUGAAGGGCACAGGUAAAUAUGAUA